This 446-nucleotide ribosomal RNA is filed under the name uncultured bacterium. RNAcentral describes it as "bacterial SSU rRNA". It matches the Rfam family "Bacterial small subunit ribosomal RNA", at positions 329 to 792 of the family's 1533-position model. The record is from RNAcentral.
UGCCAGACUCCUACGGGAGGCAGCAGUGGGGGAUAUUGCACAAUGGGGGAAACCCUGAUGCAGCGACGCCGCGUGGGCGAAGAAGCGUCUCGGUGCGUAAAGCUCUGUCAGCAGGGAAGAAAGUGACAGUACCUGACGAAGAAGCCCCGGCUAACUACGUGCCAGCAGCCGCGGUAAUACGUAGGGGGCAAGCGUUAUCCGGAUUCACUGGGCGUAAAGGGAGCGCAGGCGGCGCGGCAAGUCAGGUGUGAAAACCCGGGGCUCAACCCCGGGACUGCAUUUGAAACUGCGGGGCUGGAGUGUAGGAGGGGUAAGCGGAAUUCCUGGUGUAGCGGUGAAAUGCGUAGAUAUUAGGAGGAACACCAGUGGCGAAGGCGGCUUACUGGACGAUGACUGACGCUGAGGCUCGAAAGCGUGGGGAGCAAACAGGAUUAGAUCCCCCGGUA